Molecule: ribosomal RNA, 439 nt
Filed under: uncultured bacterium
Lineage: Bacteria
Description: partial 16S ribosomal RNA
Rfam family: Bacterial small subunit ribosomal RNA
Source: RNAcentral
CUACGGAUCGCUGCAGUGAGGAAUAUUGCACAAUGGGGGGAACCCUGAUGCAGCAACGCCGCGUGGAGGAUGACGCAUUUCGGUGUGUAAACUCCUGUUAUAUGUCAAGAAAAUGACGGUAGCAUAUGAAUAAGCACCGGCUAACUCCGUGCCAGCAGCCGCGGUAAUACGGAGGGUGCAAGCGUUACUCGGAAUCACUGGGCGUAAAGGACGCGUAGGCGGGUUGGAAAGUCAGGUGUGAAAUCCUACAGCUUAACCGUAGAACUGCACUUGAAACUUCUAAUCUAGAGUAUGGGAGGGGGAGAUGGAAUUAGUGGUGUAGGGGUAAAAUCCGUAGAUAUCACUAGGAAUACCUAAAGCGAAGGCGAUCUCCUGGAACAUUACUGACGCUAAGGCGUGAAAGCGUGGGGAGCAAACAGGAUUAGAUACCCCUGUAGUC